UACGUAGGGGGCAAGCGUUGUCCGGAAUUAUUGGGCGUAAAGCGCGCGCAGGCGGCGACUUAAGUCUGGUGUUUAAGCCCGGGGCUCAACCCCGGUACGCACUGGAAACUGGGUGGCUGGAGUGCAGGAGAGGGGAGUGGAAUUCCACGUGUAGCGGUGAAAUGCGUAGAGAUGUGGAGGAACACCAGUGGCGAAGGCGACUCUCUGGCCUGUAACUGACGCUGAGGCGCGGAAAGCCGUGGGGAGCAAACAGG
This 254-nucleotide ribosomal RNA is filed under the name uncultured bacterium. RNAcentral's name for it is "partial 16S ribosomal RNA". It matches the Rfam family "Bacterial small subunit ribosomal RNA", at positions 524 to 776 of the family's 1533-position model. The record is from RNAcentral.